RNAcentral lists this long non-coding RNA (315 nucleotides) under Macaca fascicularis (crab-eating macaque). Its description in RNAcentral is "lncRNA (ENSMFAG00000063314.1)". The record is from RNAcentral. Lineage: Eukaryota; Metazoa; Chordata; Mammalia; Primates; Cercopithecidae.
UGAAAUUGUAAAAUGAAAUAUAGGCUAAGGGAAGGAUGUGUAUGAAGCUCUGGAGAUUCAUGUUACAUGCAAAGCUGUCCUCGUGUGACUAUGGACCUAUGGAGUUGGGAGAAUCUCUACGGGAAGCAAAAGGCAAGACCCCGGUCAUUUUAGGUAGAAACAACAGCAUGCUCUAGGUGUAGAUCAAUUGAAGAUUAAUAAAGACUGAUAAAAGUAUAUUUGUGUUUGUAUUUUUUUGGUCUCUACAAAUCUGGUCUCUUCCUGAGCUGAAGCAAUCCACCUCCCAAAGUGAGCCACCAUGCCCAGCCCUUUGGA